RNAcentral lists this transfer RNA (86 nucleotides) under Candidatus Obscuribacterales bacterium. RNAcentral describes it as "tRNA-Tyr". It matches the Rfam family "tRNA". Rfam says of the family: Transfer RNA (tRNA) molecules are approximately 80 nucleotides in length. Their secondary structure includes four short double-helical elements and three loops (D, anti-codon, and T loops). Lineage: Bacteria; Bacillati; Candidatus Melainabacteria; Candidatus Obscuribacterales. The record is from RNAcentral.
CCAUGUGUGGGUGAGCGGUUGAAACCAUGGAGUUGUAACCUCCAACUUUAAAAAGCGCAUUGGUUCGAAUCCAAUCACAUGGACCA